UACGUAGGGAGCAAGCGUUGUUCGGAUUUACUGGGCGUAAAGGGCGCGUAGGCGGCGCAGUAAGUUACUUGUGAAAUCUCUGAGCUUAACUCAGAACGGCCAAGUAAUACUGCAGUGCUAGAGUGCAGAAAGGGCAAUCGGAAUUCUUGGUGUAGCGGUGAAAUGCGUAGAUAUCAAGAGGAACACCUGAGGCGAAGGCGGGUUGCUUGUCUGACACUGACGCUGAGGCGCGAAAGCCAGGGGAGCAAACGGG
Molecule: ribosomal RNA, 253 nt
Filed under: uncultured bacterium
Lineage: Bacteria
Also listed under: 1 other name
Description: partial 16S ribosomal RNA
Rfam family: Bacterial small subunit ribosomal RNA
Source: RNAcentral